ACCAAGGCGACGACGGUAGCCGCCUGAGAGGUGACCGCCACCCUGGGACUGAGACCCGGCCCAGACUCCUACGGGAGGCAGCAGUGGGAAUAUUGCACAAUGGGCGAAAGCCUGAUGCAGCGACGCCGCGUGAGGGAUGACGGCCUUCGGGUUGUAAACCUCUUUCAGUAGGGAAGAAGCGAAAGUGACGGUACCUGCAGAAGAAGCACCGGCUAACUACGUGCCAGCAGCCGCGGUAAUACGUAGGGUGCGAGCGUUAUCCGGAAUUAUUGGGCGUAAAGAGCUCGUAGGCGGUUUGUCGCGUCUGUCGUGAAAGUCCGGGGCUUAACCCCGGAUCUGCGGUGGGUACGGGCAGACUAGAGUGCAGUAGGGGAGACUGGAAUUCCUGGUGUAGCGGUGGAAUGCGCAGAUAUCAGGAGGAACACCGAUGGCGAAGGCAGGUCUCUGGGCUGUAACUGACGCUGAGGAGCGAAAGCAUGGGGAGCGAACAGGAUUAGAUACCCUGGUAGUCCAUGCCGUAAACGUUGGGCACUAGGUGUGGGGACCAUUCCACGGUUUCCGCGCCGCAGCUAACGCAUUAAGUGCCCCGCCUGGGGAGUACGGCCGCAAGGCUAAAACUCAAAGGAAUUGACGGGGGCCCGCACAAGCGGCGGAGCAUGCGGAUUAAUUCGAUGCAACGCGAAGAACCUUACCAAGGCUUGACAUGUUCUCGAUCGCCGUAGAGAUACGGUUUCCCCUUUGGGGCGGGUUCACAGGUGGUGCAUGGUUGUCGUCAGCUCGUGUCGUGAGAUGUUGGGUUAAGUCCCGCAACGAGCGCAACCCUCGUUCCAUGUUGCCAGCACGUAAUGGUGGGGACUCAUGGGAGACUGCCGGGGUCAACUCGGAGGAAGGUGAGGACGACGUCAAAUCAUCAUGCCCCUUAUGUCUUGGGCUUCACGCAUGCUACAAUGGCCGGUACAAUGGGUUGCGAUACUGUGAGGUGGAGCUAAUCCCAAAAAGCCGGUCUCAGUUCGGAUUGGGGUCUGCAACUCGACCCCAUGAAGUCGGAGUCGCUAGUAAUCGCAGAUCAGCAACGCUGCGGUGAAUACGUUCCCGGGCCUUGUACACACCGCCCGUCAAGUCACGAAAGUUGGUAACACCCGAAGCCGGUGGCCUAACCCUUGUGGGGG
This 1169-nucleotide ribosomal RNA is filed under the name Micrococcus luteus. RNAcentral's name for it is "bacterial SSU rRNA". It matches the Rfam family "Bacterial small subunit ribosomal RNA", at positions 267 to 1449 of the family's 1533-position model. Lineage: Bacteria; Bacillati; Actinomycetota; Actinomycetes; Micrococcales; Micrococcaceae. The record is from RNAcentral.